AAAUGUGUUAAUUUAACAAAUUGCAAGAAAAUUGCAAUGUAUAUUUCUGAUUUUAAAAUGAAGUUCUGCAACUUUUCAAACCUCGACAUCCCAGGCUCAAGCAAUCCUUUGGCCUCAACCUCCCAAGUAGCUGGGAACACAGGUGCGCACUGGCAUGCCAGGAUAAUUUUUUAUUUUUUUUUGUAGAGAUGGGGUCUCCCUGUGUUGCCCAGGCUGGUCUCAAACUCCUGGGCUCAAGUGAUCCUCCUGCUUUGGCCUCCCAAAGUGUUGA
Molecule: long non-coding RNA, 271 nt
Filed under: Pan troglodytes (chimpanzee)
Lineage: Eukaryota; Metazoa; Chordata; Mammalia; Primates; Hominidae
Description: long non-coding RNA NONPTRT005690
Source: RNAcentral